CACGUAGGGUGCGAGCGUUGUCCGGAAUUAUUGGGCGUAAAGAGCUCGUAGGCGGUGUGUCGCGUCGGCCGUGAAAACCUGCAGCUUAACUGUGGGCUUGCGGUCGAUACGGGCAUCACUGGAGUUCGGCAGGGGAGACUGGAAUUCCUGGUGUAGCGGUGAAAUGCGCAGAGAUCCGGAGGAACACCAGAGGCGAAGGCGGCCUACUGGGUCAGUACUGACGCUGAGCCGCGAAAGCCAGGGGAGCGAACGGG
RNAcentral lists this ribosomal RNA (254 nucleotides) under uncultured bacterium. RNAcentral's name for it is "partial 16S ribosomal RNA". It matches the Rfam family "Bacterial small subunit ribosomal RNA", at positions 524 to 776 of the family's 1533-position model. The record is from RNAcentral.